Molecule: ribosomal RNA, 930 nt
Filed under: Bacillus sp. (in: firmicutes)
Lineage: Bacteria; Bacillati; Bacillota; Bacilli; Caryophanales; Bacillaceae
Description: Bacillus sp. (in: Bacteria) partial 16S ribosomal RNA
Rfam family: Bacterial small subunit ribosomal RNA
Source: RNAcentral
ACNUGCAGUCGAGCGAAUCGAUGGGAGCUUGCUCCCUGAGAUUAGCGGCGGACGGGUGAGUAACACGUGGGCAACCUGCCUAUAAGACUGGGAUAACUUCGGGAAACCGGAGCUAAUACCGGAUACGUUCUUUUCUCGCAUGAGAGAAGAUGGAAAGACGGUUUCGGCUGUCACUUAUAGAUGGGCCCGCGGCGCAUUAGCUAGUUGGUGAGGUAAUGGCUCACCAAGGCGACGAUGCGUAGCCGACCUGAGAGGGUGAUNNNCCNNACUGGGACUGAGACACGGCCCAAACUCNUACGGGAGGCAGCAGUAGGGAAUCUUCCGCAAUGGACGAAAGUCUGACGGAGCAACGCCGCGUGAACGAAGAAGGCCUUCGGGUCGUAAAGUUCUGUUGUUAGGGAAGAACAAGUACCAGAGUAACUGCUGGUACCUUGACGGUACCUAACCAGAAAGCCACGGCUAACUACGUGCCAGCAGCCGCGGUAAUACGUAGGUGGCAAGCGUUGUCCGGAAUUAUUGGGCGUAAAGCGCGCGCAGGUGGUUCNUUAAGUCUGAUGUGAAAGCCCACGGCUCAACCGUGGAGGGUCAUUGGAAACUGGGGAACUUGAGUGCAGAAGAGGAAAGUGGAAUUCCAAGUGUAGCGGUGAAAUGCGUAGAGAUUUGGAGGAACACCAGUGGCGAAGGCGACUUUCUGGUCUGUAACUGACACUGAGGCGCGAAAGCGUGGGNAGCAAACAGGAUUAGAUACCCUGNUAGUCCACGCCGUAAACGAUGAGUGCUAAGUGUUAGAGGNNUNCCGCCCUUUAGUGCUGCAGCUAACGCAUUAAGCACUCCGCCUGGGGAGUACGGCCGCAAGGCUGAAACUCAAAGGAAUUGACGCGNCCCCGCACAAGCGNNNNNNNUUGUGGUUUAAUUCGAAGCAACGCGAAA